UACGGAGGGGGUUAGUGUUGUUCGGAAUUACUGGGCGUAAAGCGUGCGUAGGCGGACUAUUAAGUCAGGGGUGAAAGCCCUGGGCUCAACCCAGGAAUUGCCCUUGAUACUGGUAGUCUGGAGUUCUGGAGAGGUGAGUGGAAUUCCGAGUGUAGAGGUGAAAUUCGUAGAUAUUCGGAGGAACACCAGUGGCGAAGGCGGCUCACUGGCCAGAUACUGACGCUGAGGUGCGAAAGUGUGGGGAGCAAACAGG
This 253-nucleotide unclassified non-coding RNA is filed under the name uncultured Paracoccaceae bacterium. RNAcentral describes it as "uncultured Rhodobacteraceae bacterium contains 16S-23S intergenic spacer region". It matches the Rfam family "Bacterial small subunit ribosomal RNA", at positions 524 to 776 of the family's 1533-position model. The record is from RNAcentral. Lineage: Bacteria; Pseudomonadati; Pseudomonadota; Alphaproteobacteria; Rhodobacterales; Paracoccaceae.